Molecule: ribosomal RNA, 520 nt
Filed under: uncultured Glomus
Lineage: Eukaryota; Fungi; Glomeromycota; Glomeromycetes; Glomerales; Glomeraceae
Description: SSU rRNA
Rfam family: Eukaryotic small subunit ribosomal RNA
Source: RNAcentral
AGCAGCCGCGGUAAUUCCAGCUCCAAUAGCGUAUAUUAAAGUUGCUGCAGUUAAAAAGCUCGUAGUUGAAUUUCGGGACUAAUAUGUCGGUCGUGCCUCGGUACGUACUGGUUUAUUGGUUUCUCCUUUCUGAAGAACCAUGAUGUCAUUUAUUUGGUGUCGUGGGGAAUCAGGACUGUUACUUUGAAAAAUUAGAGUGUUUAAAGCAGGCUCACGCUUGAAUACGUUAGCAUGGAAUAAUGAAAUAGGACGUUUGAUCCUAUUUUGUUGGCUUCUAGGAUUGACGUAAUGAUUAAUAGGGAUAGUUGGGGGCAUUAGUAUUCAAUUGUCAGAGGUGAAAUUCUUGGAUUUAUUGAAGACUAAUUACUGCGAAAGCAUUUGCCAAGGAUGUUUUCAUUAACCAAGAACGAAAGUUAGGGGAUCGAAGACGAUCAGAUACCGUCGUAGUCUUAACCAUAAACUAUGCCGACUAGGGAUCGGAUGAUGUUAAUUUUUAAUGUACUCAUUCGGCGCCUUACGG